CUACGGAGGGUGCAAGCGUUAUCCGGAAUCAUUGGGUUUAAAGGGUCCGCAGGCGGUCAAUUAAGUCAGAGGUGAAAUCCCGUCGCUCAACGACGGAACUGCCUUUGAUACUGGUUGACUUGAGUUAUACGGAAGUAGAUAGAAUGUGUAGUGUAGCGGUGAAAUGCAUAGAUAUUACACAGAAUACCGAUUGCGAAGGCAGUCUACUACGUAUAUACUGACGCUCAUGGACGAAAGCGUGGGGAGCGAACAGGAUUAGAUACCCCAGUAGUCC
Molecule: ribosomal RNA, 274 nt
Filed under: uncultured bacterium
Lineage: Bacteria
Description: partial 16S ribosomal RNA
Rfam family: Bacterial small subunit ribosomal RNA
Source: RNAcentral